This 459-nucleotide ribosomal RNA is filed under the name uncultured bacterium. Its description in RNAcentral is "partial 16S ribosomal RNA". It matches the Rfam family "Bacterial small subunit ribosomal RNA", at positions 338 to 795 of the family's 1533-position model. The record is from RNAcentral.
CCUACGGGUGGCAGCAGUGAGGAAUAUUGGUCAAUGGUCGGGAGACUGAACCAGCCAAGCCGCGUGCGGGAUGAAGGUACAGAGUAUCGUAAACCUCUUUUGUCAGGGAACAAAGGCGGGGACGUGUCCCCGGAUUAGUGUACCUGAAGAAAAAGCAUACGCUAACUCCGUGCCAGCAUCCGCGGUAAUACGGAGGAUGCGAGCGUUAUCCGGAUUUAUUGGGUUUAAAGGGUGCGCAGGCGGUCUGUUAUGUUAGCGGUCAAAGCCCGGGGCUCAACCCCGUCCCGCCGUUGAGACUGGCAGUCUCGAGUUGGAGAGAAGUAUGCGGAAUGCGCGGUGUAGCGGUGAAAUGCAUAGAUAGCGCGCAGAACUCCGAUUGCGAAGGCAGCAUGCCGGCUCCACACUGACGCGGAGGCACGAAAGCGUGGGUAUCGAACAGGAUUAGAUACCCGAGUAGUC